Molecule: long non-coding RNA, 270 nt
Organism: Octodon degus (degu)
Lineage: Eukaryota; Metazoa; Chordata; Mammalia; Rodentia; Octodontidae
Exons: 2
Source: RefSeq, a predicted model, not a curated record
CCUACGGGGCCUGCCAUAGGCGGCGCGGGAGGACGGGGCGCGGCGGGGGACACGGCGGCCGCCGCGGCGCUAGACCGGGCAACGGCGGCGACGGUGGAGGCAUGAUUUCCCGUUGCCGCAGAGAAAAUAGGGUGCAAGCCCAGAAACUUUCCCCAUCACCACUUGUUGAAAAUCUGAUUUGAAAGCUGUUCGAGUGUGAACAACAGAAAGUGCGGAGAUUUGAUGCGUGCCUCCUUUUGCGCUGGAGACCCUUCACUACUAAUUAUCAAG